RNAcentral lists this ribosomal RNA (528 nucleotides) under earthworm cast bacterium C17M1. Its description in RNAcentral is "bacterial SSU rRNA". It matches the Rfam family "Bacterial small subunit ribosomal RNA", at positions 46 to 590 of the family's 1533-position model. The record is from RNAcentral.
GCUUAACACAUGCAAGUCGAACGAUGAACCACUUCGGUGGGGAUUAGUGGCGAACGGGUGAGUAACUACGUGGGCAAUCUGCCCUUCACUCUGGGACAAGCCCUGGAAACGGGGUCUAAUACCGGAUACGACCUGCCGAGGCAUCUUGGCGGGUGGAAAGCUCCGGCGGUGAAGGAUGAGCCCGCGGCCUAUCAGCUUGUUGGUGAGGUAACGGCUCACCAAGGCGACGACGGGUAGCCGGCCUGAGAGGGCGACCGGCCACACUGGGACUGAGACACGGCCCAGACUCCUACGGGAGGCAGCAGUGGGGAAUAUUGCACAAUGGGCGAAAGCCUGAUGCAGCGACGCCGCGUGAGGGAUGACGGCCUUCGGGUUGUAAACCUCUUUCAGCAGGGAAGAAGCGAAAGUGACGGUACCUGCAGAAGAAGCGCCGGCUAACUACGUGCCAGCAGCCGCGGUAAUACGUAGGGCGCGAGCGUUGUCCGGAAUUAUUGGGCGUAAAGAGCUCGUAGGCGGCUUGUCGCGUCG